AAACUGGGAUUAGAUACCCCACUAUGCCUGACUGUAAACUACAAGCCAAAAAAGUACGAGCCACACUUGAAACUUAAAGGACCUGGCGGUACUUUACAUCGACCUAGAGGGGCCUGUCCUAUAAUCGAUAAUCCACGAAAAACCCAACCAUCUCUUGCCCUCAGCCUAUAUACCGCCGUCUCCAGCCCAUUUCCCAAAAAAUGAAGCUAAACAGUCCCACACACAAGCACGUCAGGUCAAGGUGUAGCUCAUGAGAUGGAAGAGGCGGGCCACAAUACC
Molecule: ribosomal RNA, 279 nt
Filed under: Draco walkeri
Lineage: Eukaryota; Metazoa; Chordata; Lepidosauria; Squamata; Agamidae
Description: partial small subunit ribosomal RNA
Rfam family: Bacterial small subunit ribosomal RNA
Source: RNAcentral